This 497-nucleotide ribosomal RNA is filed under the name uncultured bacterium. RNAcentral's name for it is "bacterial SSU rRNA". It matches the Rfam family "Bacterial small subunit ribosomal RNA", at positions 30 to 524 of the family's 1533-position model. The record is from RNAcentral.
AUUGAACGCUGGCGGCAUGCCUUACACAUGCAAGUCGAACGGUAACAGGUCUUCGGAUGCUGACGAGUGGCGAACGGGUGAGUAAUACAUCGGAACGUGCCCGAUCGUGGGGGAUAACGGAGCGAAAGCUUUGCUAAUACCGCAUACGAUCUACGGAUGAAAGCAGGGGACCGCAAGGCCUUGCGCGGACGGAGCGGCCGAUGGCAGAUUAGGUAGUUGGUGGGAUAAAAGCUUACCAAGCCGACGAUCUGUAGCUGGUCUGAGAGGACGACCAGCCACACUGGGACUGAGACACGGCCCAGACUCCUACGGGAGGCAGCAGUGGGGAAUUUUGGACAAUGGGCGAAAGCCUGAUCCAGCCAUGCCGCGUGCAGGAUGAAGGCCUUCGGGUUGUAAACUGCUUUUGUACGGAACGAAAGACUCCUUCUAAUAAAGGGGUUCAUGACGGUACCGUAAGAAUAAGCACCGGCUAACUACGUGCCAGCAGCCGCGGUAAU